Molecule: long non-coding RNA, 618 nt
Organism: Crotalus tigris (Tiger rattlesnake)
Lineage: Eukaryota; Metazoa; Chordata; Lepidosauria; Squamata; Viperidae
Exons: 4
Source: RefSeq, a predicted model, not a curated record
GAAAAGUCUCUGCCCAUCCCCCCCUCAGAAUUCAGAGAUUAAUGCAAGUGUUUAACAAUGUUUUUCUGUAAGUAUCUUCGUGCCUGCCCUGUCUUUUGGCGGAAAAUCUUAUCUAUUAAAAUGGAUUGGCAGUAAAACUAAGAAGAGGUUUGAUUGUCUCAGUUCAGAUGUAUUAUAUGAUAUAAUGAUGCUUUUUGGUCUGUCUGGUAUCCCCACCUGAAAUCAGCUGUCUCUUCAUUUAGCCUGGGUGUGCCAUUCUUCCAGAAGACUGGAAAACCUAUGGAAAUAUGGAACACAUGUAAUGCCUUUCUGAAGUGCAACUGAAAUUCAGGGAGCAGAUGCCUCUGUACAAGAAUUGAUUUUAUUAACUGAAAGACUACAGUAGAUUUCAUCCUGCAGUCUGGAAUCAAAUACUAAAGUCAUUGUCAUCCUCAUCCUAAUUCUCAAGCAAAUUUAACUCCAAUCAGAUAAAUAUGCACCAUGCAACUUUCCCCUCCUAAAGGAGAUGAAGGUACUUUCAGACAGCACUGCAAAUAGAAUAGUAUGAAUAAGCCAGUACAAACAUGUGGAGAAAUAGCAAAAUAAAUAAAUAAAUAAAUAAAUCCUUCUCUUGUUUUA